RNAcentral lists this ribosomal RNA (492 nucleotides) under uncultured bacterium. RNAcentral describes it as "partial 16S ribosomal RNA". It matches the Rfam family "Bacterial small subunit ribosomal RNA", at positions 29 to 507 of the family's 1533-position model. The record is from RNAcentral.
AGUGAACGCUGGCGGUAGGCCUAACACAUGCAAGUCGAACGGCAGCACAGUAAGAGCUUGCUCUUACGGGUGGCGAGUGGCGGACGGGUGAGGAAUACAUCGGAAUCUACUUUUUCGUGGGGGAUAACGUAGGGAAACUUACGCUAAUACCGCAUACGACCUACGGGUGAAAGCAGGGGAUCUUCGGACCUUGCGCGAUUGAAUGAGCCGAUGUCGGAUUAGCUAGUUGGCGGGGUAAAGGCCCACCAAGGCGACGAUCCGUAGCUGGUCUGAGAGGAUGAUCGGCCACACGGGAACUGAGACACGGUCCAGACUACUACGGGAGGCAGCAGUGGGGAAUAUUGGACAAUGGGCGCAAGCCUGAUCCAGCCAUACCGCGUGGGUGAAGAAGGCCUUCGGGUUGUAAAGACCUUUUGUUGGGAAAGAAAAGCAGCAGGUUAAUACCCCGCUGUUCUGACGGUACCCAAAGAAUAAGCACCGGCUAACUUCGUG